This is a transfer RNA of Camelus ferus (Wild Bactrian camel), 72 nucleotides long. It matches the Rfam family "tRNA". Rfam says of the family: Transfer RNA (tRNA) molecules are approximately 80 nucleotides in length. Their secondary structure includes four short double-helical elements and three loops (D, anti-codon, and T loops). Further hydrogen bonds mediate the characteristic L-shaped molecular structure. tRNAs have two regions of fundamental functional importance: the anti-codon, which is responsible for specific mRNA codon recognition, and the 3' end, to which the tRNAs corresponding amino acid is attached (by aminoacyl-tRNA synthetases). tRNAs cope with the degeneracy of the genetic code in two manners: having more than one tRNA (with a specific anti-codon) for a particular amino acid; and 'wobble' base-pairing, i.e. permitting non-standard base-pairing at the 3rd anti-codon position. NCBI's taxonomy places the organism in Eukaryota, Metazoa, Chordata, Mammalia, Artiodactyla, Camelidae. The record is from Rfam.
GGGGGUAUAGCUCACUGGCAGAGUGCAUGCUUAGCAUGCACGAGGUCCUGGGUUCAAUCCCCAGUGCCUCCA